Molecule: ribosomal RNA, 256 nt
Filed under: uncultured bacterium
Lineage: Bacteria
Description: partial 16S ribosomal RNA
Rfam family: Bacterial small subunit ribosomal RNA
Source: RNAcentral
CGUAGGGGCGAGCGUUGUCCGGAAUCAUUGGGCGUAAAGAGCGUGUAGGCGGCCCGGUAAGUCCGCUGUGAAAACCCGGGGCUCAACCCCGGGCGUGCAGUUGGAAAACUGCCGGGGCUAGAGGGCGGCAGAGGCGAGUGGAAUUCCCGGUGUAGCGGUGAAAUGCGCAGAUAUCGGGAGGAACACCGGUAGCGAAGGCGGCUCGCUGGGCCGUUCCUGACGCUGAGACGCGAAAGCUAGGGGAGCGAACAGGAUU